CCCUUCCCUCAAGCAAAGCUUCCUUAUUCUGCCUCCAACCCGUAUCAACAACAAAACCAAAACUCCCAAAAACCCUAUUCCAAAACCAAACACAAACCUAUGAAACCUUGUCUCUAAAACCAACAACAUCAUUGAAAAACAACAUCAUAGGCAAUGAGAAUGAUGCAAGUAGCUUCAAGUAUUCGUGCUUUCACAUGGUUCUCACUUCGAAGACACUUAGAAGAAAACAUAACCGACCUACACAAAUGCACAAACCCUAAUCACAUCAAACAAAUCCAUGCACAACUCAUCAAAUGUCAUCUUCAUCAAGACCCUUACAUUGCUCCAAAACUCAUAGCUUCAUAUUCACUCACCAAUAAUUUAUCUUCUGCUGUUAAUGUUUUUAACCAAGUUCCUGACCCAAAUGUUCAUCUUUAUAAUUAUCUUAUUAGAGCUUAUUCUCUUUCAGGCAAUGAAUCAAACAGUUUGUGUGCGUUUGGUGUUUUAUUGAAAAUGCAUGUGGAUGGUGUUUUGGCGGAUAAUUUUACUUACCCUUUUCUUUUAAAAGGGUGUAAUGGUAGUUCUUCUUGGUUGAGUUUGGUGAAAAUGGUGCAUGCCCAUGUGGAAAAAUUGGGUUUUUAUUGGGAUAUUUUUGUGCCGAAUUCGUUGAUUGAUUGUUAUUGUAGGUGUGGGGAUGUUGAGAUGGCGAUGAAGGUGUUUUCCGGGAUGGAGGAGAGGGAUGUUGUGAGUUGGAAUAGUAUGGUUGGUGGGUUGGUUAAAAAUGGUGAUUUAGAUGGUGCGUUGAAGGUGUUUGAUGAAAUGCCGGAGAGAGAUAGGGUUAGUUGGAAUACGAUGUUGGAUGGGUUUACGAAGGCGGGUGAGAUGGAUAAGGCGUUUAAAUUGUUUGAGAGAAUGGCUGAGAGGGAUAUUGUUUCUUGGUCUACUAUGGUUUGUGGUUAUAGUAAAAACGGUGAUAUGGAUAUGGCGAGGAUGUUGUUUGAUAGGUGUCCAGUUAAGAAUUUGGUGUUGUGGACGACGAUAAUAUCUGGGUAUGCUGAGAAGGGACAGGUGAAGGAGGCGAUGAACUUGUGUGAUGAAAUGGAGAAGUCUGGGUUGAGGCUUGAUGAUGGGUUUUUUAUUAGUAUUUUGGCUGCGUGUGCUGAGUCUGGAAUGCUUGGGUUGGGAAAGAAAAUGCAUGAUUCGUUUUUAAGGUCUAGAUUUAGAUGUAGCACUAAGGUAUUGAAUUCCUUCAUUGAUAUGUAUGCAAAGUGUGGUUGUGUCGAUGAUGCCUUUCGUGUGUUUAAUGGAAUGAAGACGGAGAAGGAUUUGGUGUCUUGGAAUUCCAUGAUACAUGGGUUUGGUAUACACGGACAUGGUGAGAAAUCGAUUGAGCUUUUCAAUACAAUGGUGCGUGAAGGUUUCAAGCCUGAUAGAUAUACAUUCAUUGGCCUUUUAUGCGCUUGCACGCAUGCGGGCCUUGUUAACGAAGGGCGUGGUUACUUUUAUUCAAUGCAGAGAGUAUACGGGAUUGUUCCUCAGAUCGAGCAUUAUGGUUGCAUGGUUGACCUUCUCGGCCGUGGUGGACAUCUGAAAGAAGCUUUUUGGCUUGUGCGCAGCAUGCCCUUUGAACCAAAUGCCAUUAUAUUGGGCACUCUUUUGGGCGCUUGUCGGAUGCAUAAUGAUGUUAAACUCGCUACAUCUGUGUCUAAAUAUCUGUUUAAAUUGGUGCCAUCUGAUCCUGGAAAUUUUUCGCUUCUGUCAAAUAUUUAUGCUCAAUCUGGUGAUUGGAUUAAUGUUGCCAAAGUGAGGAAGCAGAUGAAUGACGAAGGAGGUCAAAAGCCUUCUGGGGUUAGUUCCAUAGAGGUGGAGGAAGAAGUACACGAAUUUACUGUACGUGACUGGUCACACCCUAAAUCAGUUGGGAGAUGUUUAGUGUUCUGAUGACUGAUUUUACAAAUUGAGACUCUCUGGGAGCCUUUUUCUGAGAUUAGAUUAUUGUAGAGGUGAACAUUAGGGUUUGAGAUCAGUUUGAAGAUGUUGAAGGCCGAGGAGAUUUGGUUGGAGAGGGAGUAGGCGAUGAUGAGUUUGGAGCUACGCAGAUGCCUUAGUGGACGUCAGAGAGGUUAUCUUCCAUGUGUCUUCUAGGAGAGAACUAUAUGAAGAUUCACAGUCAAGAUGACAUUUGCAUCCUUCUCGUGACGUACUGAACUCUGAAACAGCCUUCCAUACACCGAUUUCAACGAAGAACGGUGGCAUUUCUCUCCUCUUCCAGCAACAACUUAAACUUGAAAUAUCCUUGCAGUGCCUUCACAAUCAUCACCAUCUUUGUUUCUUCUGUUGAGAAUGGUCCGAUUUAGGCGCUGAAGCAUAUUUCAGGUAUUUCUUCAGGCUUGUUUAUUGCCUUCCUUGGGACUUAGAUAUUUUGCAUUGAUAGGAAUUGUUUGAUUUUGAAUCAACUUUUAUGACACUGCUAUCGAUUUCCUCUUCAUUUUCAUCAAUAUCACCAGAAGUAAUUUAACCAUAUUCCAAUUUUAUGUGUUCUUACAUAUUUUAGUUUUCCAUCAAUAAAGGUCUACUGAAAGUUUGAAGCUAGUUAAUCACAAACAAAUCAAAUUGUAUUUUGCUGGACUUUGAAGCUUUCAUGAACAAAACCAAUUGAUGGACUUUUGUGCCUUGUUGGAAUUUCAAUGCUGUGUUACAUUUGUAAAGUAGUUCCCUGAAGAAGCUAAAUUAGUCCAUCUAAAUUGGCACCGGGGAUAAUCGAAUUGAGACCUUGAGGAGGAGCACACUCUCGGGUCCCAAGCCAAUACCACCAUGUCAACCCAAGUGGGUUAAAAAAAUAUGAUAUUGUAAUUACUGGAUCACUUAUUCUGACAAUAACAUAAUUGCAUUGCAAGGAUUACGAUAAAUAUUUUCUAGAUUUUCAGGUUCAAGUUUGAUAUUCAUUUACAUAGUUUCUAUAUUGAAACUAUUUUAUAGUGAUAAUCCAACAAUAAUAGUGAACUCCAAAGUUUGAUGCUCCUCA
Molecule: RNA transcript, 3004 nt
Organism: Medicago truncatula (barrel medic)
Lineage: Eukaryota; Viridiplantae; Streptophyta; Magnoliopsida; Fabales; Fabaceae
Gene name: pentatricopeptide repeat-containing protein At3g29230
Exons: 3
Source: RefSeq, a predicted model, not a curated record